Ailuropoda melanoleuca (giant panda) is the source of this 96-nucleotide small nuclear RNA. Lineage: Eukaryota; Metazoa; Chordata; Mammalia; Carnivora; Ursidae. The record is from Ensembl.
GUGCUCGCUUUGGCAGCACAUAGACUAAAACUGGAACGAUACAGAGAAGAUUAGCACAGGGAUGACACUCAGAUUCAUGAAGCAAUCCACAUUUUA